This 312-nucleotide ribosomal RNA is filed under the name Triticum aestivum (bread wheat). RNAcentral's name for it is "partial small subunit ribosomal RNA". Lineage: Eukaryota; Viridiplantae; Streptophyta; Magnoliopsida; Poales; Poaceae. The record is from RNAcentral.
AUGAUGAAACGAAAAAGCAAAUCAUUCAAUUUUGUAUACUGUGGCACCGUUACAUGCUUGAAUGUGGCUGAAGAUUAUCCAUUUGAAGAGAAAGCUACUGUACGGCGAAUCCUUCCCUUGCUUCAGCGUCACACAUUGGUUCAGACCUUUGGACCAAAGAACCAUGUCCGUUUAAAGGCCAGCUCCAUCGUAAUUUCACCAUAUGCGCCUACACAGAAAAUGCAAGUUCCAUCUUCAUGUACUUCCGUGGUCUCUUCUACGACACCAGCAAUGGUUUGGCAGCACAGCACAUGGGGGCAAUGGACCAUCUGA